This is a long non-coding RNA of Etheostoma spectabile (orangethroat darter), 1012 nucleotides long. RefSeq lists it as uncharacterized. Lineage: Eukaryota; Metazoa; Chordata; Actinopteri; Perciformes; Percidae. The transcript is spliced from 2 exons. The record is from RefSeq and is a predicted model, not a curated record.
AUCGCGUGAGUAGUGAGCGAGUCACUUCCUGUAUUAGAGUGUGUUGAAUUUUCAUGCGACUUACUCAAAUGUGUGCAUCUGUCAGCCAGAGGUGAACAUGGCUGAAGUCUCGGAGAGGACACUACAAGUCGCCGUCGUGGUGUCUUUUGCCGCCGGCUUCGUAGCGGGGUGGCAAGCUAACAGAAUGAGGAGAAAGUUUCUGGACUGGAGGAAGAAACGGCUGCAAGAUAAACUGUCCGAAACUCAGAAGAAGCUGGAUUUGGCUUGAACGGUCUGGGGUUGUCUGGUAUUCUCUGUAAAGCUGCUGGAUCCUGGAUGUGCUACACGUCUGUCACAGUGGUGAAGUGACAUCAAAAUGAACUACCUGUGUUCUGACACUACUCACAUUUUCUCAUCCCACCUUUUUAAAUCAAGACUGGACUUGGGAAUACAAUCAUUACCUACGAACCGCAGCUUCUUUUCUCCCCUCGGACACUAGUCUAGCAUUGCCAGACACAUCUCCACAGCCCUGUGUCAGUGCUCGAGUAUUGUCUGGCUACAGUGAUUUUUUUCAAACCAAUUAACUAUCCUGGGCUGCACUAACUAAAGCCCCUGAUGCAGAGACCAUGCCCUUGCUAAAUAGAUAGAAGAAGUGAAGGCUAUAUCCCAGCAAUGUACAUCCAGUGAGCCAGACUACUCAAGACACAACAGGGAAGAAAUCUGGGAUCUGGUUUUAGUGGUUUUCCUUUAUAGCAUGUCUCAGUUUCUAUCUGUUUCAUAUCUGGUCCAAAUAAAUUAUUGUGUUUUUCAUGUUUCUCUAACUAUGUUGUUUAUUUGGAAAGCUGGUAUUCCACAUUAAGGUGACAGCUUUCAGGGAUAAAGGUUGUCAUUUGUUUGGCUUUUGUCACUGUCAUUUUCCUAAAACCUACUGCAACGUCGUCAUAAUUGUCACACAUUAAAUGUUACUCACCGGUGACAUGGCCAAAAGAGCUUUUAAUGUAUGAAAUCCUUUAAAUAAAAUGAAUUUCCAGAA